RNAcentral lists this ribosomal RNA (251 nucleotides) under uncultured prokaryote. RNAcentral describes it as "partial 16S ribosomal RNA". It matches the Rfam family "Bacterial small subunit ribosomal RNA", at positions 525 to 775 of the family's 1533-position model. The record is from RNAcentral.
ACGAAGGUUGCGAGCGUUGUUCGGAAUCACUGGGCUUAAAGCGCAUGUAGGCGGAUGAGUAAGCGUUUUGUGAAAUCCCCCGGCUUAACCGGGGAAUUGCUUGGCGAACUGCUCAUCUUGAGGCAAGCAGGGGUGCAUGGAACUCUUGGUGGAGCGGUGGAAUGCGUAGAUAUCAAGAGGAACGCCAAUGGUGAAAACAGUGCACUGGGCUUGUUCUGACGCUGAGAUGCGAAAGCGUGGGGAGCGAACGG